RNAcentral lists this ribosomal RNA (477 nucleotides) under uncultured bacterium. Its description in RNAcentral is "partial 16S ribosomal RNA". It matches the Rfam family "Bacterial small subunit ribosomal RNA", at positions 28 to 507 of the family's 1533-position model. The record is from RNAcentral.
GAUGAACGCUGGCGGCGUGCCUAACACAUGCAAGUCGAACGAAGCACCUUACCUGAUUCUUCGGAUGAAAGUUUGGUGACUGAGUGGCGGACGGGUGAGUAACGCGUGGGUAACCUGCACUGUACAGGGGGAUAACAGCUGGAAACGGCUGCUAAUACCGCAUAAGCGCACGAGGAGACAUCUCCUUGUGUGAAAAACUCCGGUGGUACAGGAUGGGCCCGCGUCUGAUUAGCUGGUUGGCAGGGUAACGGCCUACCAAGGCAACGAUCAGUAGCCGGUCUGAGAGGAUGAACGGCCACAUUGGAACGGAGACACGGUCCAAACUCCUACGGGAGGCAGCAGUGGGGAAUAUUGCACAAUGGGGGAAAUCCUGAUGCAGCAACGCCGCGUGAGUGAAGAAGUAUUUCGGGAUGUAAAGCUCUAUCAGCAGGGAAGAUAAUGACGGUACCUGAAUAAGAAGCUCCGGCUAAAUACGUG